RNAcentral lists this ribosomal RNA (253 nucleotides) under uncultured bacterium. RNAcentral describes it as "partial 16S ribosomal RNA". It matches the Rfam family "Bacterial small subunit ribosomal RNA", at positions 524 to 776 of the family's 1533-position model. The record is from RNAcentral.
UACAGAGGGGGCAAGCGUUGUUCGGAAUUACUGGGCGUAAAGGGCGCGUAGGCGGCCUUCUAAGUCGAACGUGAAAUCCCUGGGCUCAACCCAGGAACUGCGUCCGAUACUGGAAGGCUUGAAUCCGGGAGAGGGAUGCGGAAUUCCAGGUGUAGCGGUGAAAUGCGUAGAUAUCUGGAGGAACACCCGUGGCGAAGGCGGCUCCCUGGUCCGUCCCUGACGCUGAGACGCGAAAGCGUGGGGAGCAAACAGG